RNAcentral lists this ribosomal RNA (484 nucleotides) under uncultured bacterium. Its description in RNAcentral is "partial 16S ribosomal RNA". It matches the Rfam family "Bacterial small subunit ribosomal RNA", at positions 30 to 507 of the family's 1533-position model. The record is from RNAcentral.
AUUGAACGCUGGCGGCAGGCCUAACACAUGCAAGUCGAGCGGAUGAAGGGAGCUUGCUCCUGGAUUCAGCGGCGGACGGGUGAGUAAUGCCUAGGAAUCUGCCUGGUAGUGGGGGAUAACGUCCGGAAACGGGCGCUAAUACCGCAUACGUCCUGAGGGAGAAAGUGGGGGUUCUUCGGACCUCACGCUAUCAGAUGAGCCUAGGUCGGAUUAGCUAGUUGGUGGGGUAAAGGCCUACCAAGGCGACGAUCCGUAACUGGUCUGAGAGGAUGAUCAGUCACACUGGAAAUUGGACACGGUCCAGACUCCUAAGGGAGGCAGAAGUGGGGAAUAUUGGACAAUGGGCGAAAGCCUGAUCAAGCCAUGCCGCGUGUGUGAAGAAGGUCUUCGGAUUGUAAAGCACUUUAAGUUGGGAGGAAGGGCAGUAAGUUAAUACCUUGCUGUUUUGACGUUACCAACAGAAUAAGCACCGGCUAACUUCGUG